CAUAUCAAUAAGCGGAGGAAAAGAAACUAACAAGGAUUCCCCUAGUAACUGCGAGUGAAGCGGGAAAAGCUCAAAUUUAAAAUCUGGCAGUCUUUGGCUGUCCGAGUUGUAAUCUAGAGAAGUGUUAUCCACGCUGGACCGUGUACAAGUCUCCUGGAAUGGAGCGUCAUAGAGGGUGAGAAUCCCGUCUUUGACACGGACUGCCAGGGUUUUGUGAUGCGCUCUCAAAGAGUCGAGUUGUUUGGGAAUGCAGCUCAAAAUGGGUGGUAAAUUCCAUCUAAAGCUAAAUAUUGGCGAGAGACCGAUAGCGAACAAGUACCGUGAGGGAAAGAUGAAAAGAACUUUGGAAAGAGAGUUAAACAGUACGUGAAAUUGCUGAAAGGGAAACGCUUGAAGUCAGUCGCGUUGUCCAGGGAUCAACCUUGCUUUUGCUUGGUGCACUUUCUGGUUAACGGGUCAGCAUCAAUUUUGAUCAUUGGAAAAAAGUUGGGGGAAUGUGGCAUCUUCGGAUGUGUUAUAGCCCUUGGUUGUAUACAAUGGUUGGGAUUGAGGAACUCAGCACGCCGCAAGGCCGGGUUUUUAACCACGUACGUGCUUAGGAUGCUGGCAUAAUGGCUUUAAUCGACCCGUCUUGAAACACGGACCAAGGAGUCUAACAUACCUGCGAGUGUUUGGGUGGUAAACCCGAGCGCGUAAUGAAAGUGAAAGUUGAGAUCCCUGUCGCGGGGAGCAUCGACGCCCGGACCAGACCUUUUGUGACGGUUCUGCGGUAGAGCAUGUAUGUUGGGACCCGAAAGAUGGUGAACUAUGCCUGAAUAGGGUGAAGCCAGAGGAAACUCUGGUGGAGGCUCGUAGCGAUUCUGACGUGCAAAUCGAUCGUCAAAUUUGGGUAUAGGGGCGAAAGACUAAUCGAACCAUCUAGUAGCUGG
RNAcentral lists this ribosomal RNA (929 nucleotides) under Cortinarius sp. PDD 95411. RNAcentral's name for it is "partial large subunit ribosomal RNA". It matches the Rfam family "Eukaryotic large subunit ribosomal RNA", at positions 39 to 954 of the family's 3401-position model. Lineage: Eukaryota; Fungi; Basidiomycota; Agaricomycetes; Agaricales; Cortinariaceae. The record is from RNAcentral.